Molecule: long non-coding RNA, 654 nt
Organism: Rosa rugosa (rugosa rose)
Lineage: Eukaryota; Viridiplantae; Streptophyta; Magnoliopsida; Rosales; Rosaceae
Exons: 2
Source: RefSeq, a predicted model, not a curated record
UAGUAGGGUUGUUGCCACCCACUUUCUCCUCGAUAAGGAGUAAUUUACUAUAUACUAAAUGUGAGUGCACUGUUCCUGACUGUUCAUAAGGGACGGAAAGGACGGUUCUGUCCUUACUUUAUCUUUUUUUACGCCUCUGUCAUUCACUCUCUCUUUCACCUAAAGCGAAUUGUUUCUCCUUUCUCUCGCUCUCCUACUCCCCUCGCUUUGAACCGUACGGAUCUUUCAAAUUUCAAUUGGUUUUUGAAGAAAGCCCAGAAGCUUCAACUUGAAGGCACCAAUCAAAGAACACAAGUUUGCAAUUGGGAGAGAGAGUUGUGCUUAGAAGACGAAGGAAUUGGGAGAGAGAGAGAGAGAGUUCAGAGUUUCUGCCAUUGGUUGUUGACCGAAGCUAGAAUGACAGACUGAUCGGUGUUCGGUGUUUGCUUGCUUUUGGCCAGGCAAGUUACUGAAGGAGGAAUGUGUUAAAUGGUUACAACAUGGAGAAGACUGUAAAAGUAGUUGGGCUCCCUCCCUCUAUGAACUAGAGAACUUCAUUUGAUUACUAUUAGUUGUUAGUUCAGUUAGAAAGCAAUUGAUAAUUGUUAUAUAACUUGAACGACGUGAUAUACCCGCAGCAAAGCGCGGGAUCGUUAAAAUCAUUCAUUAAAAUCA